RNAcentral lists this long non-coding RNA (247 nucleotides) under Lathyrus oleraceus (garden pea). RNAcentral's name for it is "Pisum sativum (pea) long non-coding RNA (PSAT_LNC038502)". Lineage: Eukaryota; Viridiplantae; Streptophyta; Magnoliopsida; Fabales; Fabaceae. The record is from RNAcentral.
AAAUAUGCAUGUAAUCCUUCGAAUCUUGCUUCAAUCCAGCUCAAAAAUGCUUGUGGAUCAUAGAUUAAUCAAGAUCAAAGCAAUGUUUGUGAAGAAAAUUGAAGAAAAGUUGAGAGAAAAAAAUGUGAAGAUUGGUGAAUGAGAUCUAGAUCUGAGCAAAAUGAAAUGUUAACCAGGUUUUCUGUUAUGAUUAUCUUUAUAUAUGGUGUGCUAAUGAAACUCCUAAUCAUAAUUAGGCAAAUGCAAU